Molecule: ribosomal RNA, 253 nt
Filed under: uncultured bacterium
Lineage: Bacteria
Description: partial 16S ribosomal RNA
Rfam family: Bacterial small subunit ribosomal RNA
Source: RNAcentral
CACGUAGGGCGCAAGCGUUGUCCGGAAUUAUUGGGCGUAAAGAGCUCGUAGGCGGUCUGUUGCGUCCGCUGUGAAAACUCGGGGCUUAACCCCGAGCCUGCAGUGGAUACGGGCAGACUAGAGGUAGGUAGGGGAGAAUGGAAUUCCCGGUGUAGCGGUGAAAUGCGCAGAUAUCGGGAGGAACACCGGUGGCGAAGGCGGCAUUCUGGACCACAACUGACACUGAGAGACGAAAGCCAGGGGAGCAAACGGG